CAUGCAAGUCGAACGAUGAAGGGAGCUUGCUCCUGGAUUAGUGGCGAACGGGUGAGUAACACGUGAGUAACCUGCCCUUAACUCUGGGAUAAGCCUGGGAAACUGGGUCUAAUACCGGAUAUGACUCCUCAUCGCAUGGUGGGGGGUGGAAAGCUUUUUGUGGUUUUGGAUGGACUCGCGGCCUAUCAGCUUGUUGGUGAGGUAAUGGCUCACCAAGGCGACGACGGGUAGCCGGCCUGAGAGGGUGACCGGCCACACUGGGACUGAGACACGGCCCAGACUCCUACGGGAGGCAGCAGUGGGGAAUAUUGCACAAUGGGCGAAAGCCUGAUGCAGCGACGCCGCGUGAGGGAUGACGGCCUUCGGGUUGUAAACCUCUUUCAGUAGGGAAGAAGCGAAAGUGACGGUACCUGCAGAAGAAGCGCCGGCU
RNAcentral lists this ribosomal RNA (430 nucleotides) under unidentified bacterium TMB824. RNAcentral's name for it is "bacterial SSU rRNA". It matches the Rfam family "Bacterial small subunit ribosomal RNA", at positions 54 to 498 of the family's 1533-position model. The record is from RNAcentral.